ACAGACAUUAUUAGUACUGUGUGUAUAUAUGUGAAUGCAUGACCAAUGUGAUUCUGCAACCUGUAUAAUCAGAAAAAUGAGGUAUUAUAUCCCAUCUAUUUCAAAUGUAUGAUAUGUCAAGGUCAUUGUACUGUCAUGGGUAACUAAUUAAAACAAAUUUUAAAAAAAAACUUAAAAAAAAAAAGCCUUGGAGAGACUACACCUAAAGUAAUGAAUGUCCAGUACAGGGCACGUGUUUGAAGUUAGAUUAGAGAGCCAUUGGGAUAGAUGGAUAGGAUAAGAUUAGUAGCUAUUAAAUGAGAAUUCUUUAUAAUUUCAUGCAUGGUAGACAAUAUGUAUUUAUUGGUGUUCAUUAAAUAAGUAACAUGCAUAAAUGCAAAUCACUCAAUUUUCUCACUCCAUGUUCAUACUUCUUACUGAUAAAUUGCAAAAAUGUUAUGCAAAUCAUGAGAGAAUUUGCCCUCAGUGUUUUAUGACACAAUAAGCACACAAAAUAUCAGAAGUAUUUAUUCCAAUAGCCUCUUUAGCAAAUAGAGGCCAAAUUGGCAUUUUAUGUACAAAUAUCUUUCCACAGGAAGAUGUGAUUUUCCAUAUCUUAAUGUCAGAUGUAAAUUUUUGUCACCAGCGUCACCAUAGACAGGAGCUGACAAUAAAGUUUUUAUUCCUUUGGUUUAUAUUCAUAAGAAAUUUAUAAGGUCCAAAGAACUGUUUUCUUGUAAAGGCACAUAAACUUUAAGAAUAAUAUAAAUAUGAUAGAUACAUCUAAUUUAGGAUUCUUGGUAAAAUCUUGGUCAUUCUUGGUAUAUAGCCAUAUUUUAUAAGGAAGCACUUCUGGGAUUAGAUUAUAAAUUUCUUAGUAACAAUUUUAGGUGUAUUCCAGAAAACAUGAGCUAAAUGAAUACUUGCAUCUUAAUGUGGGCUCCAUGGAAGAUUUAGUGUUUCUCCCCAACCUCUGUGGCUUGCCCAUUUGUCUAUUUGCAUGUGUUUUGCUCAGUUAUUUUUUCCUCAUUCAUGAUUUAAAAUUUUAUUGUCACACCUCACCCCUGGCUCACUUUUGUUUUACAUUUCGAGUGCU
RNAcentral lists this long non-coding RNA (1075 nucleotides) under Marmota monax (woodchuck). Lineage: Eukaryota; Metazoa; Chordata; Mammalia; Rodentia; Sciuridae. The record is from RNAcentral.